This 629-nucleotide ribosomal RNA is filed under the name uncultured Halorubrum sp. Its description in RNAcentral is "bacterial SSU rRNA". It matches the Rfam family "Archaeal small subunit ribosomal RNA", at positions 709 to 1336 of the family's 1478-position model. Lineage: Archaea; Methanobacteriati; Methanobacteriota; Halobacteria; Halobacteriales; Haloferacaceae. The record is from RNAcentral.
AGCUCGGGUCACGAACCGGAUUAGAUACCCGGGUAGUCCGAGCUGUAAACGAUGUCUGCUAGGUGUGACACAGGCUACGAGCCUGUGUUGUGCCGUAGGGAAGCCGUGAAGCAGACCGCCUGGGAAGUACGUCCGCAAGGAUGAAACUUAAAGGAAUUGGCGGGGGAGCACUACAACCGGAGGAGCCUGCGGUUUAAUUGGACUCAACGCCGGACAUCUCACCAGCAUCGACUGUAGUAAUGACGAUCAGGUUGAUGACCUUAUCCGAGCUUCAGAGAGGAGGUGCAUGGCCGCCGUCAGCUCGUACCGUGAGGCGUCCUGUUAAGUCAGGCAACGAGCGAGACCCGCAUCCUUACUUGCCAGCAGUACCGCGAGGUAGCUGGGGACAGUAGGGAGACCGCCGCUGCCAAAGCGGAGGAAGGAACGGGCAACGGUAGGUCAGUAUGCCCCGAAUGUGCUGGGCAACACGCGGGCUACAAUGGUCGAGACAAAGGGUUCCUACUCCGAAAGGAGACGGUAAUCUCAGAAACUCGAUCGUAGUUCGGAUUGUGGGCUGAAACUCGCCCACAUGAAGCUGGAUUCGGUAGUAAUCGCGCCUCAGAAGGGCGCGGUGAAUACGUCCCUGCUCC